RNAcentral lists this ribosomal RNA (757 nucleotides) under uncultured archaeon. RNAcentral's name for it is "bacterial SSU rRNA". It matches the Rfam family "Archaeal small subunit ribosomal RNA", at positions 102 to 859 of the family's 1478-position model. The record is from RNAcentral.
GGACAACCUGCCCUGAGGACUGGAAUAAUCCCGGGAAACUGGGGGUAAUUCCAGAUAUGCCAGAACUCCUGGAAUGGGUUCUGGCAKAAAGGCUCCGGCGCCUCAGGAUGAGUCUGCGUCCGAUUAGGCUGUUGUUGGGGUAACGGCCCAACAAACCUAAGAUCGGUACGGGUCGUGAGAGCGAUCGCCCGGAGAUUGGAUCUGAGAUAUGAUCCUAGGCCCUACGGGGUGCAGCAGGCGCGAAAACUUUACAAUGUGGGAAACCAUGAUAAGGGAAUUCCCAGUGUUCCUACAUAGUAGGAACUGUUUAGGUGCGUAAAAAACACCUAAUAGAAAGGGCCGGGUAAGACCGGUGCCAGCCGCCGCGGUAACACCGGCGGCCCGAGUGGUAACCGCUAUUAUUGGGUCUAAAGGGUCUGUAGCCGGCCAGGUAAGUCCCUUGGGAAAUCUGGCAGCUCAACUGUCAGGCUGCUAGGGGAUACUGUUUGGCUUGGGACCGGGAGAGGUGAGAGGUACCUUGGGGGUAGGGGUGAAAUCUUGUGAUCCUCGGGGGACCACCAGUGGCGAAGGCGUCUCACCAGAACGGGUCCGACGGUAAGGGACGAAAGCUAGGGGCACGAACCGGAUUAGAUACCCGGGUAGUCCUAGCCGUAAACGAUGCUCGCUAGGUGUCAGUCACGGUGCGACCGUGAUUGGUGCCGUAGGGAAGCCGUGAAGCGAGCCACCUGGGAAGUAUGGCCGCAAGGCUGAAACUUAA